GGUGAUGGUCCCUAGUAACUCUAGCGAACUCCUUGAAUGUCAAAUGAUCACCAAUCAACCCAAGAAAUGGCAAGCAACAAGGAGGGAAAGAAUGUGAUGUUAACACCUUUUCGGACAUUUUAGUCAUCGUCCUGCUACCACCUACCUUGCCAUUGCCCCAGUUGAAGGUUUCAGUCUAAGGGAGAAGUUUCAGCUCUUCCCUACCAGUUAAUAAA
This 215-nucleotide unclassified non-coding RNA is filed under the name Hevea brasiliensis (rubber tree). Lineage: Eukaryota; Viridiplantae; Streptophyta; Magnoliopsida; Malpighiales; Euphorbiaceae. The record is from RNAcentral.